Molecule: transfer RNA, 76 nt
Filed under: Rhizobium sp. P40RR-XXII
Lineage: Bacteria; Pseudomonadati; Pseudomonadota; Alphaproteobacteria; Hyphomicrobiales; Rhizobiaceae
Description: tRNA-Ser
Source: RNAcentral
GCGAUAUAGAAAAGAUUGAUUGUUUAGGUAGCCUUCCAAGCUGAAUACGCGGGUUCGAUUCCCGCUACCCGCUCCA